This 337-nucleotide ribosomal RNA is filed under the name uncultured Anoxybacillus sp. RNAcentral's name for it is "bacterial SSU rRNA". It matches the Rfam family "Bacterial small subunit ribosomal RNA", at positions 1044 to 1382 of the family's 1533-position model. Lineage: Bacteria; Bacillati; Bacillota; Bacilli; Caryophanales; Anoxybacillaceae. The record is from RNAcentral.
CAUGGUUGUCGUCAGCUCGUGUCGUGAGAUGUUGGGUUAAGUCCCGCAACGAGCGCAACCCUCGACCUUAGUUGCCAGCAUUCAGUUGGGCACUCUAAGGUGACUGCCGGCUAAAAGUCGGAGGAAGGUGGGGAUGACGUCAAAUCAUCAUGCCCCUUAUGACCUGGGCUACACACGUGCUACAAUGGGCGGUACAAAGGGUCGCGAACCCGCGAGGGGGAGCCAAUCCCAAAAAGCCGCUCGUAGUCCGGAUCGCAGUCUGCAACUCGACUGCGUGAAGUCGGAAUCGCUAGUAAUCGUGAAUCAGAAUGUCACGGUGAAUACGUUCCCGGGCCUU